CGUAGUCAACAUGCCCAGGGGACGUGGAUAACCUCGGGAAACUGAGGAUAAACCACGAUAAGUCACUACUUCUGGAAUGGGUAAUGACUCAAAUCUACAUGGCCCCUGGAUUGGACUGCGGCCGAUCAGGCUGUUGGUGAGGUAAUGGCCCACCAAACCUGUAACCGGUACGGGCUCUGAGAGGAGGAGCCCGGAGAUGGGCACUGAGACAAGGGCCCAGGCCCUAUGGGGCGCAGCAGGCGCGAAACCUCUGCAAUAGGCGAAAGCCUGACAGGGUUACUCUGAGUGAUUUCCGUUAAGGAGAUCUUUUGGCACCUCUAAAAAUGGUGCAGAAUAAGGGGUGGGCAAGUCUGGUGCCAGCCGCCGCGGUAAUACCAGCACCCCGAGUGGUCGGGACGUUUAUUGGGCCUAAAGCAUCCGUAGCCGGUUCUACAAGUCUUCCGUUAAAUCCACCUGCUUAACAGAUGGGCUGCGGAAGAUACUAUGGAGCUAGGAGGCGGGAGAGGCAAGCGGUACUCGAUGGGUAGGGGUAAAAUCCGUUGAUCCAUUGAAGACCACCAGUGGCGAAGGCGGCUUGCCAGAACGCGCUCGACGGUGAGGGAUGAAAGCUGGGGGAGCAAACCGGAUUAGAUACCCGGGUAGUCCCAGCUGU
Molecule: ribosomal RNA, 652 nt
Filed under: uncultured archaeon
Lineage: Archaea
Description: bacterial SSU rRNA
Rfam family: Archaeal small subunit ribosomal RNA
Source: RNAcentral